RNAcentral lists this ribosomal RNA (253 nucleotides) under uncultured prokaryote. Its description in RNAcentral is "partial 16S ribosomal RNA". It matches the Rfam family "Bacterial small subunit ribosomal RNA", at positions 525 to 777 of the family's 1533-position model. The record is from RNAcentral.
ACGAAGGGUGCAAGCGUUAAUCGGAAUUACUGGGCGUAAAGCGUGCGUAGAUGGUUCGCUAAGUCGGAUGUGAAAGCCCCGGGCUCAACCUGGGAACUGCAUCCGAUACUGGCGGACUAGAGUGUGAUAGAGGAUGGCGGAAUUCCCGGUGUAGCGGUGAAAUGCGUAGAGAUCGGGAGGAACAUCCGUGGCGAAGGCGGCCAUCUGGAUCAACACUGACGUUGAGGCACGAAAGCGUGGGGAGCAAACAGGA